GUAACACGUAGUCAACAUGCCCAGGGGACGUGGAUAACCUCGGGAAACUGAGGAUAAGCCGCGAUAGGUCACUACUUCUGGAAUGGGUAAUGACUCAAACCUAUAUGGCCCCUGGAUUGGACUGCGGCCGAUCAGGCUGUUGGUGAGGUAAUGGCCCACCAAACCUGUAACCGGUACGGGCUCUGAGAGGAGGAGCCCGGAGAUGGGCACUGAGACAAGGGCCCAGGCCCUAUGGGGCGCAGCAGGCGCGAAACCUCUGCAAUAGGCGAAAGCCUGACAGGGUUACUCUGAGUGAUCUCCGUUAAGGAGAUCUUUUGGCACCUCUAAAAAUGGUGCAGAAUAAGGGGUGGGCAAGUCUGGUGUCAGCCGCCGCGGUAAUACCAGCACCCCGAGUGGUCGGGACGUUUAUUGGGCCUAAAGCAUCCGUAGCCGGUUCUACAAGUCUUCCGUUAAAUCCAGCUGCUUAACAGAUGGGCUGCGGAAGAUACUAUGGAACU
This 497-nucleotide ribosomal RNA is filed under the name uncultured archaeon. Its description in RNAcentral is "bacterial SSU rRNA". It matches the Rfam family "Archaeal small subunit ribosomal RNA", at positions 93 to 593 of the family's 1478-position model. The record is from RNAcentral.